RNAcentral lists this long non-coding RNA (215 nucleotides) under Ananas comosus (pineapple). RNAcentral's name for it is "long non-coding RNA (ACOM_LNC042904)". Lineage: Eukaryota; Viridiplantae; Streptophyta; Magnoliopsida; Poales; Bromeliaceae. The record is from RNAcentral.
AUAUAAUUCUCCUCUCUCUUCUUGGGCCUAGCCGAUAAUUAAAUUACCUAUCUCUUUCUCUUUCUCUCUCUUCCUCACCUACACACAGAUCCAAAUGGCUACCCACCCAACGCCCUCUUUCCCACUCCGUCUUCUGUGACCCCCUUGCCCUAUCUCCCACUUCGUCUCCUCCGAACUCAUCCUCUUGUAGGGUUUCCUCUUCUCCACCCUUUUCU